UACAGAGGUCCCAAGCGUUGUUCGGAAUUACUGGGCGUAAAGGGCGCGUAGGCGGUCAGGUCAGUCCCGUGUGAAAUCCCUCGGCUCAACUGAGGAACUGCACGGGAAACUGCCUGGCUUGAGUUCGGGAGAGGGAAGCGGAAUUCCGGGUGUAGCGGUGAAAUGCGUAGAUAUCCGGAGGAACACCGGUGGCGAAGGCGGCAUCCUGGACCAACACUGACGCUGAGGAGCGAAAGCCAGGGGAGCAAACGGG
Molecule: ribosomal RNA, 253 nt
Filed under: uncultured bacterium
Lineage: Bacteria
Description: partial 16S ribosomal RNA
Rfam family: Bacterial small subunit ribosomal RNA
Source: RNAcentral